Molecule: ribosomal RNA, 254 nt
Filed under: uncultured bacterium
Lineage: Bacteria
Description: partial 16S ribosomal RNA
Rfam family: Bacterial small subunit ribosomal RNA
Source: RNAcentral
UACGGAGGGUGCGAGCGUUGUCCGGAAUCAUUGGGCGUAAAGGGCGCGUAGGUGGCCCGGUCAGUUCGUGGUGAAAGCGCGGGGCUCAACCCUGCGUCGGCCAUGAAUACUGCCGCGGCUGGAGCACUGUAGAGGCAGGCGGAAUUCCGGGUGUAGCGGUGGAAUGCGUAGAGAUCCGGAAGAACACCGGUGGCGAAGGCGGUCUGCUGGGGUAAUGCUGACACUGAUGCGCGACAGCGUGGGGAGCAAACAGG